ACGUAGGGGGCGAGCGUUGUCCGGAAUGACUGGGCGUAAAGGGCGCGUAGACGGCUGUCUAAGUCUGGAGUGAAAGUCCUGCUUUCAAGGUGGGAAUUGCUUUGGAGACUGGAUGGCUUGAGUGCGGAAGAGGUAAGUGGAAUUCCCAGUGUAGCGGUGAAAUGCGUAGAGAUUGGGAGGAACACCAGUGGCGAAGGCGACUUACUGGGCCGUAACUGACGUUGAUGCGCGAAAGCGUGGGGAGCGAACAG
RNAcentral lists this ribosomal RNA (251 nucleotides) under uncultured prokaryote. RNAcentral's name for it is "partial 16S rRNA". It matches the Rfam family "Bacterial small subunit ribosomal RNA", at positions 525 to 775 of the family's 1533-position model. The record is from RNAcentral.